GUUUGCUUCAGCAGAACUUAUACUAAAAUUGGAACAAUACAGAGAAGAUUAGCAUGGCCCCAUGUGCAGGGGUAAUACACAAAUUCAUGAAGCAUUCCAUAUUUUU
Pteronotus mesoamericanus is the source of this 106-nucleotide small nuclear RNA. Lineage: Eukaryota; Metazoa; Chordata; Mammalia; Chiroptera; Mormoopidae. The record is from RefSeq and is a predicted model, not a curated record.